GCAACCCCCAUUUCCCCUUCAUUUUCUUUUUCUAUUUUCUCCUUCACCGAUCCCUACCUCCAGCCGCACCCUCCAACCGACCACCAUCGCUUUCAUCCUUCUUUUCUUCUCCGAUCCACGGUCGCCGCCCCUAUUCUUCUUCCGUUUCUCUUUCUUUUCUACCAUACCCAGCCGCCGCUGCAACCGUCGGCCGCCAUCUCUGUUCGCGAAGCAAGGCCGCCGUGUGACCUUCCGCCCAGCGCCGUGUGACCCUUCGCCCAGCGCCGUUUGACCCUCUGCCCAGCGCCGCGCAACCUCUGUCUCCGCGCCGUCGUCCAGAUCUGCGUCGCCGUGCCCCGUCCUAAUCGCCUCUGUCUCCGUCGAAGCCAAGCCCAGCCGCCGCCCAUUCCUUUCUCCUCCGUUUUCUGCACUGCCGCGCGACUCUCCGUCCGUCUGUAUACAGUCUCUCCGUCGCACGUCGUCUCUUCGCAAAGCUGCUGCUCGACUUCUUCCGCGAAUAACACCUUUGACGUCCGCGCAAUCAGGUUUUAAUUCGCUACCGUGAACCGAACUAAAGACCCCAGAUCCAACUUUCUGCGCGUCGAGUUCCUUCUUCGUCCUGCCGCAGGUAGCAAACCCACGCCAUUCGAUUGGGUUGUUCGCUGUCGUUCCUGCUUUGCCACGAGUCAUUAAAUUUUGAUUGGUUGAAGGUAACACUCGAAUUCAUUGGGUUCGCAGCAAACAAUUGAUUCUAGUUGGAACUCGUUUUGUGAAGAUUUGGGUUCGUUCUUCGUAGACUUCAACGUGGUUAAGGAGCUUAACUAACUUGAAAGCAAAGGUAAUAAAGACGGCAAACCGGCGACGAG
Cucumis sativus (cucumber) is the source of this 845-nucleotide long non-coding RNA. RefSeq lists it as uncharacterized. The record is from RefSeq and is a predicted model, not a curated record. The transcript is spliced from 4 exons. NCBI's taxonomy places the organism in Eukaryota, Viridiplantae, Streptophyta, Magnoliopsida, Cucurbitales, Cucurbitaceae.